RNAcentral lists this ribosomal RNA (197 nucleotides) under uncultured bacterium. Its description in RNAcentral is "partial 16S ribosomal RNA". It matches the Rfam family "Bacterial small subunit ribosomal RNA", at positions 328 to 539 of the family's 1533-position model. The record is from RNAcentral.
ACGCUCGACACCUACGGAGGCAGCAGUGGGGAAUAUUGCACAAUGGGGGAAACCCUGAUGCAGCGACGCCGCGUGAGCGAAGAAGUAUUUCGGUAUGUAAAGCUCUAUCAGCAGGGAAGAAAAUGACGGUACCUGACUAAGAAGCCCCGGCUAACUACGUGCUAGCAGCCGCGGUAAUCUGAGCGGGCUGGCAAGGC